UGCACAUUUCUCUGCAUAUAAGCAUUUCAUUUAUGAAUAAGAAUUUCUUCAAAAUUUUUUUUCUUUUUUUGAGAUGGAGUUUCACUCUUGUUACCCAGGCUGGAGUGCAAUGGCGCGACCUCGGCUCACUGCAACCUCCGCCUCCUGGGAUCAGGCAAUUCUCCUGCCUCAGCCUCCUGAGUAGCUGGGAAUUACAGAUGGAGUUUUGCUCUCGCUGCCCAGGCUGAAGUGCAAUGGCAAGAUUUUGGCUCACUGCAACCUCUGCCUCCCAGGUUCAAGCAAUUCUCCUGCCUCUGCCUCCUGAGUAGCUGG
This 312-nucleotide long non-coding RNA is filed under the name Callithrix jacchus (white-tufted-ear marmoset). RNAcentral describes it as "lncRNA (ENSCJAG00000069606.1)". The record is from RNAcentral. Lineage: Eukaryota; Metazoa; Chordata; Mammalia; Primates; Cebidae.